RNAcentral lists this transfer RNA (72 nucleotides) under Chelonia mydas (Green sea turtle). It matches the Rfam family "tRNA". Rfam says of the family: Transfer RNA (tRNA) molecules are approximately 80 nucleotides in length. Their secondary structure includes four short double-helical elements and three loops (D, anti-codon, and T loops). Further hydrogen bonds mediate the characteristic L-shaped molecular structure. tRNAs have two regions of fundamental functional importance: the anti-codon, which is responsible for specific mRNA codon recognition, and the 3' end, to which the tRNAs corresponding amino acid is attached (by aminoacyl-tRNA synthetases). tRNAs cope with the degeneracy of the genetic code in two manners: having more than one tRNA (with a specific anti-codon) for a particular amino acid; and 'wobble' base-pairing, i.e. permitting non-standard base-pairing at the 3rd anti-codon position. The record is from Rfam by way of RNAcentral. Lineage: Eukaryota; Metazoa; Chordata; Testudines; Cheloniidae.
GGAAGUGUUGCCUAGUGGACAGAGCACUGGACUGGGACUCAGGAGAACUGGGUUCUAUUCCCAGCUUUGCUA